GGGCAGGCGUGCUGCCUUACCAUGACAGUCGAACGGCAGCGCGGGCUUCGGCCUGGCGGCGAGUGGCGAACGGGUGAGUAAUACAUCGGAACGUGCCCUGUUGUGGGGGAUAACUAGUCGAAAGAUUAGCUAAUACCGCAUACGACCUGAGGGUGAAAGCGGGGGACCGUAAGGCCUCUCGCAAUAUGAGCGGCCGAUGUCUGAUUAUCUCUUUGGUGGGGUAAAGGCCUACCCCGGCGACAAUCACUAUCUGGGCUGAGAGGACGAUCACCCCCACUGGGACUGAGACACGGCCCCCACUCCUACGGGAGGCGCCACUGGGGAAUUUUGGACAAUGGGGGCAACCCUGAUCCCCCAAUGCCCCGUGUGUGAAAAAAGCCUUCUGGUUGUAAAGCACUUUUGUCCGGAAAAAAAUCUCGCUGGCUAAUACCUGGGGUGUAUGACAGUACCGGAAAAGUAUACACCGGCUAACUACAUGCCAGCACCCGCGGUAAUACAUAGGGUGCGAGCGUUAAUCUCAAUUACUGGGCGUAUAGCGUGCGCACGCGGUUUUGUAAGACACGCGUGAGAUCUCCGGGCUUAACCUGUGAAUGUCGCUCGUGACUGCGAGGCUAUAGUGCGUCUCAGAGGGGUAUAAUUCCACGUGUAUCACUGAGAUGCGUAUAGAUGUGUAGGAGUACCCAUGGCGAAAGCGCCCCCCUGUGACGAGACUGACACUCAUGCGCGAAAGCGUGUGGAGCACACACGAUUAUAUACCCUGGGAGUCCACGCCCUCUACGAUGUCACAAUUUGUUGGGGGAGUCAUUUUCUUCUCUAUCAUAUCU
RNAcentral lists this ribosomal RNA (824 nucleotides) under Cupriavidus sp. Its description in RNAcentral is "bacterial SSU rRNA". It matches the Rfam family "Bacterial small subunit ribosomal RNA", at positions 33 to 853 of the family's 1533-position model. The record is from RNAcentral. Lineage: Bacteria; Pseudomonadati; Pseudomonadota; Betaproteobacteria; Burkholderiales; Burkholderiaceae.